Molecule: ribosomal RNA, 2517 nt
Filed under: Triticum aestivum (bread wheat)
Lineage: Eukaryota; Viridiplantae; Streptophyta; Magnoliopsida; Poales; Poaceae
Description: partial small subunit ribosomal RNA
Source: RNAcentral
AUGACUCCUGAUGAGAUCUCAGCCAAAGAGUCUGAGCUCCAAGCUCAUGCCAAAGAGCUAGACGAGCUUGAGGCUAAACUCAAGCGCGAAGCUGCAGUCGCCGCUGAAGAAAAAGGCAAGGGGACGGCCGUCCAUACGCCACCCAGUCCCUCCGCGUACGCCACUUCGAUCAAGCUCCAUGUCCCCAUCACCCUCUAUCUCAACGAGUCCAACUACACCAACUGGAGGAAGCUCCUUCUCCCUGCUCUUGGUCGCUAUGGCCUCACCGCUCAUGUGAUUGGCGACACUAGCGCCACGCCUUCCGACACCUCGCCCACUUCAGACUGGGGAUGCGACAACUUCAUGUUGAUCUCCUGGAUAUAUGGCUCCAUCUCCAUCGACUUCUUCAGCAUCGUCAAGCGUCCUGGCUCCACGGCACGCACGAUCUGGUAUGCCAUUGAGAACCUGUUUCGAGACAACAAAAAGCACUGUGCCAUCCAGCUUGAGGUGGAGUUCCGCAACACUCCGCAAGGUGGUCAGACCGUCAGCGAUUACUGCUCGAAGCUCAAAGCCCUGGCUGACUCCCUCACCGACGUCGACCAACCGGUCAGUGACGAGACGCUUGUCCUCACCCUUCUGCGUGGCCUUAACAAUAGCUUCACGCACCUCCGCUCCUUCAUCCCGUUUCAGGUGCCCUUCACAACGUUCCUUCAGACACGCUCGGCGCUCAUCUUAGAAGAGACACAAAAGAAAACUGAUGCCAAGAACGCCGCCUCCACUGCUCUAUGGGCAAGCGGCAAUAGCAUCCUACCUAGCGCUGCUGGCGAGCGCGCUCCACUAUCUGGCUCUGGGGGCGACCGUUCAGGCGGGCGUGGUGGCUCUGGCUACAACAACACCCCAUUCUACCGCGGUGGUGGCCGCGGCGGUCGUGGUCAUGGCCGCGGCAACCCAUGGCAGUUCAAUCCAUGGACUGGGGCCCCGACUCGGGCUCAUCUUCUUCAGCAACAUCAGUCAUCAACUCCAUGGCAGCAACCCACGGCUUCCUGGCAACUUCGUCCAUGGCGUGCAUCGUCUCAAGGACUUCUCUGUCCUCGUCCCAACACUGCACCGCAAGCUUACACUGCCUACGGUCAGACCUACAACAACACCAACAUGAUGCCGUCCUCUACUUCAAACCCGCACCAGCAGAUGGUCGAUCCAGCGCUCCUGGCUGCCCUCAACAAUAUGCAGAUCCCCGGCACGCACGAGUGGCUAAAUUCAAAUGACAGAGAGUGCAGAGAGCAGAGAGAGAGAGAGAGAGGAGGGCAGGGGAGAGGAGAGGGAGAGGCUUACGGGGCAGUGGAGAGGGCGGCGGCAUCGAGGUCGAGGGUGGCGGCGGCGGCUAGGUCGAGGGCGGGCGCAGGGGCGACAACCGGCGAGGUCGAGGGCGGGCACAAGGGAGAUGGACGGCGAGGGAAAAAACACCACCCACCCGCUCCCCACAGCCCACUCCCCUCCCCUAACCUCUCCCGAUCUCACCACCGCCUCCCUGCCCGCGCUGCCAUUGGCCCGCACCAGAUCGCCUCGGCACAGCCGCCGCCCUCACUAGAUCGCCCCGCCACAGCCGCCGCCCUCACCAGAUCGCCCCGCCACCGCGGUCUCCCUCCUCGGUCGUGCCACCACCAUAGUUUCCCUCCCCAAAUCAUGCCACAGCUGCCACCUCCGGCCUCCUCUGCACAACACCCCUGCUCCUUGACCUUCGUUUGUUCGAAGCUGACGGCGCUCCAUAUGUGCAGCAGCACCGCUGCCGCUACAGCUAAUCAGCCACUGCUUCUUUCCCAUAAGAUGAAUGUGUGGGUGGGGAUCCUCUGGCCGCACGACAACCACCAAACCCGCGUCGCAAGCCGCUGGGAUCCUGCCUCCAUGCAACCUUACUCCACAUGUUAUCGUGACCUUCCUCUACUUGCCGCCGUGACCAGCAGCGGCCAUGACCCUCCAAGCGCCGGCGCAGCUACACUCCACCGCUGUCGGUGGGCCGCCAACCACCACCUCCUCAUACAACCCGAUAGCUCCCUCCACAAACUAGCGCCGCCUGCCCCCACUACAUCUGCCACCUCCUGUAGUCUCUGCACAGCGGCGGCACCUUCCCAUGUUGUAUACCCGCAUCCUCUACCUUCGUCUACAAGCGUCUCAAUCCCCAGCAACACCCCUGUACAGAAUAGAUGCAGAGAAAAUAGUGGCUUGUCGGAUGUUGUCGCCAUGGAUGACGACGGUGAUCUCGUUCUCAAUCGGAGAAUGAAGAGACACUGGAGAAGGGACGAGGAUCAUGUCCUCACCGUGCAGCAUGGCGUCACCUCUUCGCUCCGGAGCGUCGGUCUUCUUGCUGGAGAGCAUUCAGUGUCGGAUUUCCUACUAUGUUUGGAAGGCAGCCAUGCUGCUAACCUGACUUUGUGUUGCACAAGAGCUUCACGUCGUCUGAAUGCGACGGUCAAAAUGUUGUGUCCGAGAAGUUCAAGGGAGCACAAAAAAAUGCGGCUGGCCAAGGUCCGUGGAUGUUGA